Molecule: unclassified non-coding RNA, 385 nt
Filed under: fungal sp.
Lineage: Eukaryota; Fungi
Description: partial internal transcribed spacer region
Rfam family: Eukaryotic small subunit ribosomal RNA (bases 1-45)
Source: RNAcentral
AAGUCGUAACAAGGUUUCCGUAGUGAACCUGCGGAAGGAUCAUUCGAUUCCAUACGAGAAGGUGAGUUUCAGUCGCUGCUUCGGCGAGCUACGAACCUAGUGCAGCCUUUCGGCUGCCUAGCUCCGGAGUAGACGGCACGACCAUCCGUUUGUAAAGAGGAUUGUCACGGGUGGAUUAACGUGCGACAUUCCCAGAAGGGGUGCGUCAGCUGACUGGUCUGAUUGUUGUCUCGGCUUGUUACCUUCGGUCCUCGGGGGGGUUCGUCACGUGAGUGCGAACACUUUAAGGUAACCAUACGUAAAUCAGACAUUUCUCAGGAUUCCGGUAAAACGGAAGCCGAAAACGUAACCCGAACAACUGUUAGCAAUGGAUAUCUUGGUUCUC